UGGGGAAUAUUGGACAAUGGGCGAAAGCCUGAUCCAGCCAUGCCGCGUGUGUGAAGAAGGCCCUCGGGUUGUAAAGCACUUUCAGCGAGGAAGAACGCCUAGGGGUUAAUACCCCCUAGGAAAGACAUCACUCGCAGAAGAAGCACCGGCUAACUCCGUGCCAGCAGCCGCGGUAAUACGGAGGGUGCAAGCGUUAAUCGGAAUUACUGGGCGUAAAGCGCGCGUAGGUGGCUUGAUAAGCCGGUUGUGAAAGCCCCGGGCUCAACCUGGGAACGGCAUCCGGAACUGUCAAGCUAGAGUGCAGGAGAGGAAGGUAGAAUUCCCGGUGUAGCGGUGAAAUGCGUCAGAUCGGGAGGAAUACCGGUGGCAAAGGCGGCCUUCUGGACUGCCACUGACGCUGGUGUGCGAAAGCGUGGGUAGCAAACA
This 426-nucleotide ribosomal RNA is filed under the name uncultured Halomonas sp. Its description in RNAcentral is "bacterial SSU rRNA". It matches the Rfam family "Bacterial small subunit ribosomal RNA", at positions 355 to 774 of the family's 1533-position model. The record is from RNAcentral. Lineage: Bacteria; Pseudomonadati; Pseudomonadota; Gammaproteobacteria; Oceanospirillales; Halomonadaceae.